GGAGCAGUCCACAGCAGAGGGAAAGGAGGAGUGAGUGUAUUCACCCAGCUCCCUCCUGUGUCUUAUUUCUCAUUGUUCAAGGCUUACUCCCUAGGGGGCUCACUCCCACACUCUAGAUCUUGUCAUCUGGCUACACAGGAGCUAAUUCCCACUCGACUUAGUGUUUCAUCUGAGUCUGAAAGUGGAGGGGCAACUCAGCAUGGGUCAGACACCAACCGAGAGAGAAAGAAGGAAGGAGUCAGGAACCUGAAAUAGAACAAGUCCAUCUGCAGUCUUGGAUUUUCUCUGAGUUCUUCUGAAUAAGAAGUCAACAUUCCAUUGUUGCCCAAAUAAACAGAAGUGGAUGCACUAUUGUGAGAAGGAGUGGAACCAGAUGAAACAUAAACCAUAAAUCUCCUCUGCCUGGUCAGAUCAGGCCAACUGGGAACCUUCCAGCAGAUAAUGGUGCAUCAUGCCCCAUUAUGUACUGGCCCUUGCUUUGCCUUCUGCAUUGGCCCUCCGCAGCAACAUACAGGACCCCGAAGAACCACAGCCAAUGAAUGCGGCAGGGGGAAGGGCGUAGGGUGCAGUUUCAGGAGCAGCAGAGCUGUGAGAGCAGAGAAGGAAGUACUCAGGGCGAGAAACAAUGACUGAAGAAAAGCCAGAGUGAAUUCCUGAGACGGAAGGUUUUCCAUCCGGAGCUUCAGCUGGAUUGCAGUCACAGUGAAGUGAGUAAAUCCCUGUGAUGUCACCAAAACAAAUACCCGGGAGAUUCGCAAACUACCUGCUCCAAGUCAACACUCCCACUCUGGAAAAGAAUACUUCAAGAAAACAAAUGCUGAUUUUUCAUGAGUAAAAUGUUCCUGUUCCUUCUUGUUUUCAACUAAGACACAAGUAGAUUGCUGAGCUACAACAUGGAAAAUUUGAGCAUUUUGAAAAGGCUGGAGCUUUCAAAAUACCACCAAUAUAACUAAAGUUUAUUGUCUAUAACCAUCUACUGUCCCACAUGCUUAUCUGGAAAGGCGUGCCCUGCAAAGGAUGUGGAACCGUAAAAGGCAAUUGUCCUUGGUAGAGACAACAGCUUCCUGGAAUUCAACAGUCCUGUUUCCUGUAAUUUUCAUCUUUGGGAAAACCAUUAUUUCUAUGAGAUGUGACAUUUAUUUAUGGUAUUGUUUUUUAAAAAAUUGUCUAACUUGAGCCAUUUUCUAAUACCUACAUAAGGACAAAAUUAU
Molecule: long non-coding RNA, 1211 nt
Filed under: Equus asinus (donkey)
Lineage: Eukaryota; Metazoa; Chordata; Mammalia; Perissodactyla; Equidae
Description: lncRNA (ENSEASG00005024947.1)
Source: RNAcentral